ACUCAAAUGAAUAGACGGGGGCCCGCACAAGCGGUGGAGCAUGUGGUUUAAUUCGACGCAACGCGAAGAACCUUACCAGCCUUUGACAUGGACAUUAGGGAGAUCAGAGAUGAUUUCUUUCAUUUAGUUGGGUGUCACACAGGUGCUGCAUGGCUGUCGUCAGCUCGUGUCGUGAGAUGUUGGGUUAAGUCCCGCAACGAGCGCAACCCUCACCUUUAGUUGCCAGCAUUAAGUUGGGCACUCUAAAGGAACUGCCUAUGAUAAGUAGGAGGAAGGUGGGGAUGACGUCAAGUCCUCAUGGCCCUUACGGGCUGGGCUACACACGUGCUACAAUGGUUACUACAGCGGGAAGCAAGCUAGAGAUAGUGAGCAAAUCCUAAAAAAGUAAUCUCAGUUCGGAUUGAGCUCUGCAACUCGAGCUCAUGAAGUUGGAAUCGCUAGUAAUCGUGGAUCAGCAUGCCACGGUGAAUACGUUCCCGGGCCUUGCACACACCGCCCGU
Molecule: ribosomal RNA, 500 nt
Filed under: uncultured bacterium
Lineage: Bacteria
Description: bacterial SSU rRNA
Rfam family: Bacterial small subunit ribosomal RNA
Source: RNAcentral